This 194-nucleotide ribosomal RNA is filed under the name uncultured bacterium. RNAcentral describes it as "partial 16S ribosomal RNA". It matches the Rfam family "Bacterial small subunit ribosomal RNA", at positions 338 to 524 of the family's 1533-position model. The record is from RNAcentral.
CCUACGGGAGGCAGCAGUGGGGAAUAUUGCACAAUGGGCGCAAGCCUGAUGCAGCCAUGCCGCGUGUAUGAAGAAGGCCUUCGGGUUGUAAAGUACUUUCAGCGGGGAGGAAGGUGCUGAGGUUAAUAACCUCAGCAAUUGACGUUACCCGCAGAAGAAGCACCGGCUAACUCCGUGCCAGCAGCCGCGGUAAU